AUUAUAUUGAGAAGAUACAAAGUUUCCUUCCACGCCAUCGUAAGGUGUAGGUCAUUUUUCAUUUGGCGGGGGCGUCCGUAGAAGAACGCGAAGAGUUAAUACACCAUUUCCCGGCGUCCAUAUUUUAGCUUUCCUCCUAUCUUCCCCGAUUCCAGACAGCCGUACCGGAGCCGAAGAACCUCAUCAUUCUUCUCUUUCCUUUCUCUCUCUGCCUUUGCCUUCAGCCUUCUUCUCAACUUUUCUUUCUCAAUUUUGUGAUUAAUUUAUUAUUACUACCAAUCACUACAGACUCGAUAGAGAAGAUUGCAUUAUGAGAAUCAAUCGAGGAACUAUACGGCUUGUUGAACAAGUCCGAACACUUGCCCUACACUGCCGCAAUGAUUCUUCAGGCAUUACUAAAAAUCCGUUACUUUCAUUACCAUCUGAUCCUCUUUCUUCUCUAUCUCUCCGUUUCUAUUCUAAAGGGGAAGUUCAAUCGCAGCAGCUAUCAAUGGAGCUUAUCAAGAUAAUGGAACAAAGGUUGACGGCUAUUGAGCUCAGAAACACUUUUCUUCUAAAUAUAAUCAAUCGGCCAGAAGCCCCACCAGCCGAGUACGCAAAGGCUAACAAGGAGCUUAAAAAACUCAGAGAUACGAUGAAUCUAAUAACUGAGUUGAGGUCUAAACAGAAGGAAAUUAAUGGUUUGAGAACGCUGAUGGAGGAAUCCUCAGAGGAUAGAGAUAUGUUUGAUAUGGCUACCGAGGAAUUGGAACAAGCAGUUGAAGAAGAGAAAAGAUUACAGCAGUUCUUGCUCAAGUCAUUACUUCCCAGAGAUGAUGCUGAUGAGAGGGAUUCCAUCCUGGAGGUGAGAGCAGGAACUGGUGGAGAUGAAGCUUCUUUGUUUGCCAUGGAUAUAUUCAAAAUGUAUGAGAGAUACGCACAGAAGAAAGGCUGGAAGUUUGAGGUGGUAGACAUAACAGAAUCAGAUCUAAAAGGAUAUAAGGAAGCCAUUGCUGCGAUAUCAGGUGCUGGGGUGUAUGGAAGACUUAAAUUUGAGAGUGGAAUUCACCGAGUACAGCGAGUUCCUGUGACAGAGAAAGCUGGACGAGUUCACACGAGUGCUAUUUCUGUAGCCAUUCUCCCUCAAGCAGACGAGGUAGAUGUAGAGUUGAAGAACGAGGACCUAAGAAUAGAUACGUUCAGAUCAGGCGGUUCAGGAGGUCAGCAUGCAAAUACCACAAAUAGUGCUGUUAGAGUGAUUCACGUUCCAACUGGGUUGACUGUGACCAUACAAGACGAGCGAUCCCAACAUAUGAACAAAGCAAAGGCGCUUAAAUUAAUAUGUGCAAAGCUAUACGAAAUGGAACGACGUAGAAUCCAGAGCAGUCGAUCGAAACUUCGAUCAGAACAGAUUGGUAGUGGGGACAGAUCGGAACGCAUCCGCACAUACAACUUUCCGCAGGGGCGGGUAACAGAUCAUCGAGUAGGCAUUACCGACCACUCAAUUGAGGAGGUAAUGCAGGGGGAGAAUCUGGAUAUAUUCGUGGACGCUCUGUUAUUGCAACAGGAAAUGGAUGCAAUUGCAUCCUUCACUUCUUCUUCUUCUUCGUAGUGGUAGUGAAGAGGAGAAGCAUUGCAUCAAUAAGAUCUCCCCACUUUGCAUUUGAUUCAGAGAUAGAUUUGACUCAUGAAGAAGAGACCCUCUGCAACGCAAUCUCGUGAAGAGAAGCAAUGACAACACUGAGGUGCUGAAAUGGAAGAGAUGUCGUGAGAGCAAGGAGGAAUGUGAUCAACGGGGGAGGCAAAGCUCAAGAAAGAUAAAGAAGAGGAAAGGAAAAGAAAAAAAACAAAGAUUUCAUCAAGAGAAAAAGAAAAAUAAGUAAUUUAAUGAUUUUCAUCGAUGAUGAUGUAAGCCUGAGGACAAAUUUCUUAACUUUCAUGAGCCAAUUUUUUCGUAAUGUUUAGUUCUUUUGGGUUUUUAUGUAAUCGUCUCGAAGGGAAAAGAGUUAAAUAUUGAAAUGCUAGAAAUGGGAGAAAUUGUUAGAAA
This is an RNA transcript of Cucumis sativus (cucumber), 2026 nucleotides long. It is a transcript of the gene named peptide chain release factor 1, with no coding region annotated. The record is from RefSeq and is a predicted model, not a curated record. The transcript has 12 exons. NCBI's taxonomy places the organism in Eukaryota, Viridiplantae, Streptophyta, Magnoliopsida, Cucurbitales, Cucurbitaceae.